AGAGCUCCCAGGUAUCAUGGCUGCCAGCCGAAGUCACCUUAAGCCGUGCUGCUCUCCCUGCUGCUGCGCUGAGGAGUGGGAGCCCCUGCGGGGGCCGUGCCCGAGGCUGUGGCCUGAGGCUGGCUCCAGGCCACCUUCCUGCCAAGCCCUGGGACAGGAGGGGCAGCUGCGGCUUCCCCUCGAGCUAUAAAAAGCCCGGCCCAGCGAGCGGAGGGCAGAGCGAGGGACAGGACGCACAGGACCCGGAGCUCAGAGCUCGGCCCAGCAGCAUGAGGUUGGGCCCCGCCAUCAGGCUGCUGCACGCCCCCCUGAGGGCCUGUGUGGUCCCCAAGGCGCACAUCUCCGCCAAGCCGGCCAAAACACCCACUUCUGCCCCCGAGCAGGCCGUGGCGCUCGUGGUGACCUUCCUCAGCUUCAUGGUCCCCGCCGGCUGGGUGCUGUCCCACCUGGACAGCUACAAGAGCCGCUCCGCCGAGUGAGGCUCUGCCCAGCCAGGCCGGGCGGCGGCCGCCGCCGUGGACACGGGAGGGAGCGCUCAUUAAACCCUCCCCCACCGAA
This is a long non-coding RNA of Myotis myotis, 558 nucleotides long. RefSeq lists it as uncharacterized. The record is from RefSeq and is a predicted model, not a curated record. The transcript has 2 exons. NCBI's taxonomy places the organism in Eukaryota, Metazoa, Chordata, Mammalia, Chiroptera, Vespertilionidae.